This is a long non-coding RNA of Cydia amplana, 172 nucleotides long. RefSeq lists it as uncharacterized. NCBI's taxonomy places the organism in Eukaryota, Metazoa, Arthropoda, Insecta, Lepidoptera, Tortricidae. The record is from RefSeq and is a predicted model, not a curated record. The transcript is spliced from 2 exons.
ACGGCUGCGAAAUGGGACGCGCAGCAGUAUGGUGUCCCUCGGCGCAAACUCUGUUAUUGUAUACCGAGUGGUGUUUAUAAUAGUAGAACACUUAGUGCAGUAAAUUAAACACAAGACAAAUAACACAACAUGAGUACAAAGACAAACUUCACUGUUAAACCCAUCACCCGGC